This 268-nucleotide ribosomal RNA is filed under the name uncultured bacterium. Its description in RNAcentral is "partial 16S ribosomal RNA". It matches the Rfam family "Bacterial small subunit ribosomal RNA", at positions 30 to 226 of the family's 1533-position model. The record is from RNAcentral.
AUUGAACGCUGGCGGCAUGCCUUACACAUGCAAGUCGAGCGGCGAGCACGGGGGCAACCCGUGGUGGCGAGUGGCGAACGGGUGAGUAAUGCAUACGGAACGUGCCCAGUAGUGGGGGAUAACUAGUCGAAAGAUUAGCUAAUACCGCAUACGGACCUACGGGUGAAAGCGGGGGAUGCAGCACUUAAUGUUUGGGAUGGCUACUUGUGGCCGCCUCGGGACAGUCUCAGGUUGAGAACAUUAAGUGCUGCACCUCGCGCUAUUGGAG